This 419-nucleotide transfer-messenger RNA is filed under the name Candidatus Vogelbacteria bacterium. It matches the Rfam family "transfer-messenger RNA". From Rfam's summary of the family: Bacterial tmRNA, also known as 10Sa RNA or SsrA, is named for its dual tRNA and mRNA-like properties. Its role is to liberate the mRNA from a stalled ribosome. The record is from RNAcentral. Lineage: Bacteria; Candidatus Vogeliibacteriota. RNAcentral also lists the same sequence under 1 other name.
GGGGAUGAUCGGCCUAGACAAAGGAUUCAUAUCACUUGUGCAUAGUCGAGGAUUCUAAGAAGCUCGUUAAACAACCUUAGAGAUGACUAAGUGCAAACUUGUCAAAAACUGCAAAAAGAGUUCUAUCUCCUUUUGCUUUCGCCUACGCUCUAGCAUAAGCUAAGACCGUAAGCCGUCUUGCCAAUCGACUUCCGAUACAUUGAUCAAGGCGUAAUAAUUUCGGGAUAGAAUAUUUGAUCUUGCCGGCAAAUAUUUGAAAGCCUUCGGGCAAUAGGCAAUAGAUUCUUUAAUGUUUCUUUCGUUUCUAAGUUAAAGAGUUGAAACAUCUUGGUGAAAGCUAAGAUUGAAGCGAAAUAAACUAUGUAGACUCAUUUGGGAAAAUCUUUUGCACGGCGGUUCGAUUCCGCCCAUCUCCACUG